UUAGGGAUAAGGGGUGCCACCAUCAGGUGGCCGCAGAGAAUAGGCCCAAGCGACUGUUUACCAAAAACAUAGGUUUCUGCUAAGUCGCAAGACGAUGUAUAGGAGCUGACGCCUGCCCGGUGCUGGACGGUUAAGGGGAUCUGUUAGAGUAAUCGAAGCAGUGAACUUAAGCCCCAGUAAACGGCGGCCGUAACUAUAACGGUCCUAAGGUAGCGAAAUUCCUUGUCGGGUAAGUUCCGACCCGCACGA
RNAcentral lists this ribosomal RNA (249 nucleotides) under Clostridioides difficile. RNAcentral's name for it is "partial 23S ribosomal RNA". It matches the Rfam family "Bacterial large subunit ribosomal RNA", at positions 1735 to 1995 of the family's 2925-position model. Lineage: Bacteria; Bacillati; Bacillota; Clostridia; Peptostreptococcales; Peptostreptococcaceae. The record is from RNAcentral.